UGAACGCUAGCUACAGGCUUAACACAUGCAAGUCGAGGGGCAUCAGGAAGAAAGCUUGCUUUCUUUGCUGGCGACCGGCGCACGGGUGAGUAACACGUAUCCAACCUGCCCUUUACUCGGGGAUAGCCUUUCGAAAGAAAGAUUAGUACCCGAUGGCAUAAUGAUUCCGCAUGGUUUCAUUAUUAAAGGAUUCCGGUAAAGGAUGGGGAUGCGUUCCAUUAGGUUGUUGGUGAGGUAACGGCUCACCAAGCCUUCGAUGGAUAGGGGUUCUGAGAGGAAGGUCCCCCACAUUGGAACUGAGACACGGUCCAAACUCCUACGGGAGGCAGCAGUGAGGAAUAUUGGUCAAUGGGCGCUAGCCUGAACCAGCCAAGUAGCGUGAAGGAUGAAGGCUCUAUGGGUCGUAAACUUCUUUUAUAUAAGAAUAAAGUGCAGUAUGUAUACUGUUUUGUAUGUAUUAUAUGAAUAAGGAUCGGCUAACUCCGUGCCAGCAGCCGCGGUAAUACGGAGGAUCCGAGCGUUAUCCGGAUUUAUUGGGUUUAAAGGGAGCGUAGGUGGACUGGUAAGUCAGUUGUGAAAGUUUGCGGCUCAACCGUAAAAUUGCAGUUGAUACUGUCAGUCUUGAGUACAGUAGAGGUGGGCGGAAUUCGUGGUGUAGCGGUGAAAUGCUUAGAUAUCACGAAGAACUCCGAUUGCGAAGGCAGCUCACUGGACUGCAACUGACACUGAUGCUCGAAAGUGUGGGUAUCAAACAGGAUUAGGAUACCCUGGUAGUCCACACAGUAAACGAUGAAUACUCGCUGUUUGCGAUAUACAGUAAGCGGCCAAGCGAAAGCAUUAAGUAUUCCACCUGGGGAGUACGCCGGCAACGGUGAAACUCAAAGGAAUUGACGGGGGCCCGCACAAGCGGAGGAACAUGUGGUUUAAUUCGAUGAUACGCGAGGAACCUUACCCGGGCUUAAAUUGCAGUGGAAUGAUGUGGAAACAUGUCAGUGAGCAAUCACCGCUGUGAAGGUGCUGCAUGGUUGUCGUCAGCUCGUGCCGUGAGGUGUCGGCUUAAGUGCCAUAACGAGCGCAACCCUUAUCUUUAGUUACUAACAGGUUAUGCUGAGGACUCUAGAGAGACUGCCGUCGUAAGAUGUGAGGAAGGUGGGGAUGACGUCAAAUCAGCACGGCCCUUACGUCCGGGGCUACACACGUGUUACAAUGGGGGGUACAGAAGGCAGCUAGCGGGUGACCGUAUGCUAAUCCCAAAAGCCUCUCUCAGUUCGGAUCGAAGUCUGCAACCCGACUUCGUGAAGCUGGAUUCGCUAGUAAUCGCGCAUCAGCCACGGCGCGGUGAAUACGUUCCCGGGCCUUGUACACACCGCCCGUCAAGCCAUGGGAGCCGGGGGUGCCUGAAGUACGUAACCGCAAGGAUCGUCCUAGGGUAAAACUGGUGAAUG
RNAcentral lists this ribosomal RNA (1445 nucleotides) under uncultured organism. RNAcentral's name for it is "SSU rRNA". It matches the Rfam family "Bacterial small subunit ribosomal RNA". The record is from RNAcentral.